ACGGGAGGCAGCAGUGGGGGAUAUUGCACAAUGGGGGAAACCCUGAUGCAGCAACGCCGCGUGAAGGAAGAAGGUCUUCGGAUUGUAAACUUCUGUCCUCAGGGAAGAUAAUGACGGUACCUGAGGAGGAAGCUCCGGCUAACUACGUGCCAGCAGCCGCGGUAAUACGUAGGGAGCGAGCGUUGUCCGGAUUUACUGGGUGUAAAGGGUGCGUAGGCGGAUCUGCAAGUCAGUAGUGAAAUCCCAGGGCUUAACCCUGGAACUGCUAUUGAAACUGUGGGUCUUGAGUGAGGUAGAGGCAGGCGGAAUUCCCGGUGUAGCGGUGAAAUGCGUAGAGAUCGGGAGGAACACCAGUGGCGAAGGCGGCCUGCUGGGCCUUAACUGACGCUGAGGCACGAAAGCAUGGGUAGCAAACAGGAUUAGAUACCCUGGUA
Molecule: ribosomal RNA, 434 nt
Filed under: uncultured Oscillospiraceae bacterium
Lineage: Bacteria; Bacillati; Bacillota; Clostridia; Eubacteriales; Oscillospiraceae
Description: bacterial SSU rRNA
Rfam family: Bacterial small subunit ribosomal RNA
Source: RNAcentral